UGGGAUGCUGGGAGACUUUGAUUUAACUUGAACCUGAAGGGGUCUGGGACAGAAGUUUCAUAACUGGUUUGACCCAAAUCAGUUAAGUCUUUUACUACAUUCAGUUAGGUUUAUCUUAAACCAGUUUCAGCCAUUUUGAAACUGGUUUGUGUGCACUGAACUUCUGUUCUGUUACAGGUUUAAUCAGUUUCUGAUUACUUAAACCGGUUUAUGUGGAACUUCUGUCCCUAGCCAAGGAAAGCAGAUGGUGCAGUUCUCACAUGGAAGCAAUCAAAUUUAAUUCUGUCUUAGCAAGCAUGUUGAAAAUAAUUCAUUUCCACAACUGUAAGACUUACUAAAAGUCUACCAAAAUGGGAGUUCCUGAAGACCAUUUAAAGCUAUAACCUACAGUUAUCCAAUUAUACGUUUCACUGAAGACUUGGAAGAAGUUCAAGUACACUGGUUGCCAUAAAAGCUUUGUGCGUAUAUGAAGUAGUUUGCUACUUUCAACUGAAUCUACAUUACUAUAGGUGAUACUUCCAUCUAUUAAAAAGGAAAAAGAAUAAAUUGUAAUGCUCAUACA
RNAcentral lists this long non-coding RNA (562 nucleotides) under Crocodylus porosus (Australian saltwater crocodile). Its description in RNAcentral is "lncRNA (ENSCPRG00005018751.1)". Lineage: Eukaryota; Metazoa; Chordata; Crocodylia; Crocodylidae. The record is from RNAcentral.